RNAcentral lists this ribosomal RNA (823 nucleotides) under uncultured bacterium. RNAcentral's name for it is "bacterial SSU rRNA". It matches the Rfam family "Bacterial small subunit ribosomal RNA", at positions 55 to 883 of the family's 1533-position model. The record is from RNAcentral.
GUGCAGUCGAGUGCGCGUGCCGUAGCAAUACGGCAUGGCGCACGGCGCACGGGUGCGUAACACGUGGGCAAUCUGCCCUCCGAUGGGGAAUAACUCCGGGAAACCGAAGCUAAUUCCGCAUAACAUUCCUUGGACUCCGGUCCGGGGAUUCAAAGCAGCAAUGCGUCGGAGGAGGAGCCCGCGCCCGAUUAGCUAGUUGGUGAGGUAACGGCUCACCAAGGCAAUGAUCGGUAGCUGGUCUGAGAGGAUGGCCAGCCACACUGGAACUGAGACACGGUCCAGACUCCUACGGGAGGCAGCAGUGGGGAAUCUUGCGCAAUGGGCGAAAGCCUGACGCAGCGACGCCGCGUGGGGGAUGAAGCUUCUCGGAGUGUAAACCCCUUUCGACCGGGACGAAUGCCCGCAAGGGAGUGACGGUACCGGUAGAAGAAGCCCCGGCUAACUACGUGCCAGCAGCCGCGGUAAGACGUAGGGGGCCAGCGUUGUUCGGAAUUACUGGGUGUAAAGGGUUCGUAGGCGGUGUGGCAAGUCGGGAGUGAAAUUUCUGGGCUUAACUCAGAAGCUGCUUCCGAAACUGCUGUGCUGGAGUGUGGGAGAGGCGCGUGGAAUUGCAGGUGUAGCGGUGAAAUGCGUAGAUAUCUGCAGGAACACCCGUGGCGAAAGCGGCGCGCUGGACCACUACUGACGCUGAGGAACGAAAGCUAGGGGAGCAAACAGGAUUAGAUACCCUGUAGUCCUAGCCCUAAACGAUCAGGACUUGGGGUGCCACCCGUUCGGGUGUCGUCCCGGAGCUAACGCGUUAAGUCCUGCACCUGGGGAGUAC